This 271-nucleotide ribosomal RNA is filed under the name uncultured Flavobacterium sp. RNAcentral's name for it is "partial 16S ribosomal RNA". It matches the Rfam family "Bacterial small subunit ribosomal RNA", at positions 1 to 277 of the family's 1533-position model. Lineage: Bacteria; Pseudomonadati; Bacteroidota; Flavobacteriia; Flavobacteriales; Flavobacteriaceae. The record is from RNAcentral.
GUCAGAGUUUGAUCCUGGCUCAGGAUGAACGCUAGCGGCAGGCUUAACACAUGCAAGUCGAGGGGUAGAAGCAGCUUGCUGCUUUGAGACCGGCGCACGGGUGCGUAACGCGUAUACAAUCUACCUUUUACAGAGGGAUAGCCCAGAGAAAUUUGGAUUAAUACCUCAUAGUAUAGCAGUUUCGCAUGAAACCACUAUUAAAGUCACAACGGUGAAAGAUGAGCAUGCGUCCCAUUAGCUAGUUGGUAAGGUAACGGCUUACCAAGGCAAC